RNAcentral lists this ribosomal RNA (301 nucleotides) under uncultured bacterium. RNAcentral describes it as "partial 16S ribosomal RNA". It matches the Rfam family "Bacterial small subunit ribosomal RNA", at positions 509 to 807 of the family's 1533-position model. The record is from RNAcentral.
CAGUCGCCGCGGUAAUACGGAGGGUGCAAGCGUUAAUCGGAAUUACUGGGCGUAAAGCGCACGCAGGCGGUCUGACAAGUCAGAUGUGAAAUCCCCGGGCUUAACCUGGGAACUGCAUCCAAAACUGGCAAGCUAGAGUACGGUAGAGGGUGGUGGAAUUUCCUGUGUAGCGGUGAAAUGCGUAGAUAUAGGAAGGAACACCAGUGGCGAAGGCGACCACCUGGACUGAUACUGACACUGAGGUGCGAAAGCGUGGGGAGCAAACAGGAUUAGAUACCCGUGUAGUCCCUGUCUCUUAUAC